Molecule: non-coding RNA, 2025 nt
Organism: Macaca mulatta (Rhesus monkey)
Lineage: Eukaryota; Metazoa; Chordata; Mammalia; Primates; Cercopithecidae
Source: RefSeq, a predicted model, not a curated record
GUCACAUUGCUGCCCGCGGUGACAAAGCGGGCAGGCGUGGCGUCGCGGUCCGAGGAGACCGUGAUGAUCGGCGGGUCCGGGCCGUCUGGAAGGAGGAGGGGUCGGGACUGCGAGUGUCAGGGUCACCUGGGACUCCGCUAGGACUCCUGGAGACUGGUUCCCCAGCCCCCUUCUCCCCAAGGACCCCCUGUCCCCGUCCCGAGGUACCCCCACACUCACAGAAGACGGUGACGUCGGCGGCAGCCUCCCUGCGGCCGAAGGGGCUGCGGACGCGGCAAGUGUACCGGGCGUGGUCGCUGCGCACAGGGCGCACGAUGAGCAGCUGGUCGCCCUCUGAGCGGAUCCGGGGCGGCUGGGCUCCCUCGGAUUCCGACGCCUCCAGGGCACGUCCGUCCCUGCUCCAGCUCAGCUCCCCGCGACCGGGUCCCCACCCCAGGCAGCGCAGCCGGAGCUCGGCCGCCCCCUCCUCUGUCUCUGGAGCCUUGGGCUGAACCGACAGCUGGGGUAGGGGCUCUGGGAGAGGGAGAACGGGCUCAGGACACAGUCCUGGAGCCCAUCUUUGGUCCCCUUAGAGGGAGCCCCAGCCGCUGCUCCCUCUAAGCCCCUGGAGUCCCGGCCCGCACCCCUCUCCUCUCAUAAACCCAUGAGUUUGAGCCCCCAGACCCCUCCUCUCCGGGACCCAGGAGUUCGACAGAAGAGGCUCCCAGCCUCCUCCUCCUCCCUCAGACCUGGGAGUCCAGGCCCCCAGGAGUCUCCAUCCCAAGUCCAACGUUGCUCAAACACCCCUGCCUUGACCUCUAGCUCUUUUCCUCCCUUCCUCAACCCAGAAGCCCUCUUCUGCCAUCCAGGGACCCCACAGCACCGUGACUUGCCCAAAGUCUGGCAGAGCAGACCAGCCCCUGCCGCCUGCACUCCAGCCGCCAGGGCCCACUUACCAUACACACCCACCGUGAACUCGCGAGUCUGCCGGGAGACCCCUGCCCGGAUGACUUCAGCCGUGUAGACCCCUGCAUCGUCCAGCUGGGCAGAGGCGAGCUCCAGAACCCCCCGGGCCUGGUCAAAUCGCAGGCGGUCUCGGUGAGCAGGGUCCAGGCUGAUCAGAGGUGCCCCUGGCCCCAGGCCUCCAGUUGCCAGCACCUUAGAGCCCCGGCGCCAGACCACCAGAGGGGUGGGGGGCCCAGGGCUGGGGACUGGGACCAGGGGGAGCCGGAUGGUAGUUCCCACCAGCACAGCCAGUGGGCCCCCCAGCUGCUGGGGGAAGCUUGCCGCUGAGUGGGUCUCUGCAGAAAAGUUGGAUUCAGGGCUCUGGGCAGAAAGUUGAAGAUCCAUGUCAUCAGGGGAGAAUUUCGAAUCUGGGGCCUCAACAGAGAGUUUGGUGUUGGAGACUUGAGUAGAAAUGUUUGAAGCUGGGGUCUUAACAGAGAAGGAAGGCUUGGGGUCUUUGGCAGGAACUUGUGGUUCCAAAAUAUCAGGAAAUACUUCAGAACCAGGGGUUUCAGAGGAGGAAACCGGGCUCAAAUCUUGGCCCUCAGCAGAAACAUUUGACCAGAAGGACCCAGACAUGUUGUUGGAACUCAGGGCCUCAGGAAACCAGCUGGAAUCAGAGAUUCCUGCAGAGCCUUUUGAAUCCAGGGACUGAUCUGGAAAUUUCCAGCUGGGAGGUUUGAUGGAGGGAACUUCUGCACCCAGCCCCUGGGAAGAGCUCUUUGAGUCCGAAGAGAAGGCAGAGGAGAAGUUGGUUUGCUGAAGUCCAGAAGAGGCUCUGAGGGACACUCCCUCAUGGAACCCAGCCGCCACACUGGGAGGAAACUCAGCAGUCCCAUGGAGGGGAAUCAUGGCCCCUGGUCAGCAGCCCCAGCCAGCUUGCUGGCCAUGUGGGUAAGCCCUCUUGGAAGUCAACCCCCUGGCCCCAUUUGAGGCACCUGAACUGAUCCUGCACCGAGGAGAGACAAGCUGUCCCUGCUGAGCCCUGCCCAGAUUCCAGACUUAAGAGCAUAAUAAACAAGUGUUGUUUUAAGCCACCAA